UGGGCGUAAGGGCUCGCAGGCGGUUUCUUAAGUCUGAUGUGAAAGCCCCCGGCUCAACCGGGGAGGGUCAUUGGAAACUGGGGAACUUGAGUGCAGAAGAGGAGAGUGGAAUUCCACGUGUAGCGGUGAAAUGCGUAGAGAUGUGGAGGAACACCAGUGGCGAAGGCGACUCUCUGGUCUGUAACUGACGCUGAGGAGCGAAAGCGUGGGGAGCGAACAGGAUUAGAUACCCUGGUAGUCCACGCCGUAAACGAUGAGUGCUAAGUGUUAGGGGGUUUCCGCCCCUUAGUGCUGCAGCUAACGCAUUAAGCACUCCGCCUGGGGAGUACGGUCGCAAGACUGAAACUCAAAGGAAUUGACGGGGGCCCGCACAAGCGGUGGAGCAUGUGGUUUAAUUCGAAGCAACGCGAAGAACCUUACCAGGUCUUGACAUCCUCUGACAAUCCUAGAGAUAGGACGUCCCCUUCGGGGGCAGAGUGACAGGUGGUGCAUGGUUGUCGUCAGCUCGUGUCGUGAGAUGUUGGGUUAAGUCCCGCAACGAGCGCAACCGUUGAUCUUAAUUGCCAGCAUUCAGUUGGGCACUCUAAGGUGACUGCCGGU
This 600-nucleotide ribosomal RNA is filed under the name Bacillus subtilis. Its description in RNAcentral is "bacterial SSU rRNA". It matches the Rfam family "Bacterial small subunit ribosomal RNA", at positions 555 to 1156 of the family's 1533-position model. Lineage: Bacteria; Bacillati; Bacillota; Bacilli; Caryophanales; Bacillaceae. The record is from RNAcentral.